CUACUGAGAACACAUGCAUUUUUUUAGUUGCUGGAAGUACCAAUGUCAAGGAUAAUUUAGUUUCGAAAAAUAGGUUCUGUUGUUGUUUGCAUAGUUUUGAAGAAUGUGUCUGAAUAGAAUGUAAUCUUAGCUCCAAGGCCCUUAGAUUGACAUGUUUCGCCUUGUUCUACUUCUUGAAGAAGGCCUGAUUUUCAUCAUUGUAUGAAAACUGUAAUUCCCUUAAAUCGAUCAUGUAAGGCAUAAUAAUGGAUAAAGCAUAUGAAGUUGCAGUAUGGGUGCUUUGCUUCCCUGAAC
RNAcentral lists this long non-coding RNA (294 nucleotides) under Gossypium raimondii (Peruvian cotton). RNAcentral's name for it is "long non-coding RNA (GRAI_LNC003539)". The record is from RNAcentral. Lineage: Eukaryota; Viridiplantae; Streptophyta; Magnoliopsida; Malvales; Malvaceae.